This 254-nucleotide ribosomal RNA is filed under the name uncultured bacterium. RNAcentral describes it as "partial 16S ribosomal RNA". It matches the Rfam family "Bacterial small subunit ribosomal RNA", at positions 524 to 776 of the family's 1533-position model. The record is from RNAcentral.
UACGGGGGGAGCAAGCGUUGUUCGGAUUUACUGGGCGUAAAGGGCGCGUAGGCGGUCAGCACAAGUCAGUUGUGAAAUCUCCGGGCUUAACUCGGAAAGGUCAACUGAUACUGUGCGACUAGAGUGCGGAAGGGGCAACUGGAAUUCUCGGUGUAGCGGUGAAAUGCGUAGAUAUCGAGAGGAACACCUGCGGCGAAGGCGGGUAGCUGGGCCGACACUGACGCUGAGGCGCGAAAGCCAGGGGAGCGAACGGG